CAGGUUCUGCCAAUAAGAAAUGAUUUUUAAAAUACAGACUGUAAUACUUGUAUCAUAUAGCGGUAGAAGCAUAGCGGAAAAGUUUGUGUAAGCAUACGACAUUUAUAUAUAGCCGAUACAGAUGUAGAUGAACGUGUUAAGAGCGUUGUAAAUAUCCUGACACAUAAAUUAUUGUAUUUCAUAAUAAAAUCUCGAUCGGU
Cydia amplana is the source of this 200-nucleotide long non-coding RNA. RefSeq lists it as uncharacterized. Lineage: Eukaryota; Metazoa; Arthropoda; Insecta; Lepidoptera; Tortricidae. The transcript has 2 exons. The record is from RefSeq and is a predicted model, not a curated record.